This 96-nucleotide non-coding RNA is filed under the name Betaproteobacteria bacterium. RNAcentral's name for it is "Glycine sequence". It matches the Rfam family "Glycine riboswitch aptamer". From Rfam's summary of the family: This family represents the bacterial glycine riboswitch. Lineage: Bacteria; Pseudomonadati; Pseudomonadota; Betaproteobacteria. The record is from RNAcentral.
CCCGCUCUCGCGGGAGAGCGCGCACCGCGCGGCUGCGGGGCGCCGCCGAAGGCGCAGCACCCGUAAUCGCUCAGGCAAACGGACCGCGGGCGCUUC